UGGGGAAUAUUGCACAAUGGGCGCAAGCCUGAUGCAGCCAUGCCGCGUGUAUGAAGAAGGCCUUCGGGUUGUAAAGUACUUUCAGCGGGGAGGAAGGGAGUAAAGUUAAUACCUUUACUCAUUGACGUUACCCGCAGAAGAAGCACCGGCUAACUCCGUGCCAGCAGCCGCGGUAAUACGGAGGGUGCAAGCGUUAAUCGGAAUUACUGGGCGUAAAGCGCACGCAGGCGGUUGAUUGAGUCAGAUGUGAAAUCCCCGGGCUUAACCCGGGAAUUGCAUCUGAUACUGGUCAGCUAGAGUCUUGUAGAGGGGGGUAGAAUUCCAUGUGUAGCGGUGAAAUGCGUAGAGAUGUGGAGGAAUACCGGUGGCGAAGGCGGCCCCCUGGACGAAGACUGACGCUCAGGUGCGAAAGCGUGGGGAGCAAACAGG
This 429-nucleotide ribosomal RNA is filed under the name Chloroflexota bacterium. RNAcentral describes it as "Chloroflexi bacterium partial 16S ribosomal RNA". It matches the Rfam family "Bacterial small subunit ribosomal RNA", at positions 355 to 776 of the family's 1533-position model. The record is from RNAcentral. Lineage: Bacteria; Bacillati; Chloroflexota.